This 900-nucleotide ribosomal RNA is filed under the name Triticum aestivum (bread wheat). RNAcentral describes it as "partial small subunit ribosomal RNA". The record is from RNAcentral. Lineage: Eukaryota; Viridiplantae; Streptophyta; Magnoliopsida; Poales; Poaceae.
AUGAAUCCGACCUACGCGUCGGGUCCGGAUGGCGUACCAGUGAAAUUCUUCCAGGUCUUCUGGCCCACCAUCAAGUGAGAGGUGAUGGCCCUCUUUCAGGAAUUUUACAUCGGCUCCAUCGACCUCUACCGCCUCAACUUUGGGAUCAUCUCCCUGAUCCCCAAGGUUCCCGGCGCCUCAGACAUCCGCCAGUUCCGGCCGAUCACGGUGAUCAAUGUGAUCUUCUGCAUCCUGGCAAAGGGGUUCACCAUUAGGUUAGCUCCUUUGGCCAACCGCAUUACACAUCCUGACCAGCCAACCUUCAUCCAAGGGCAAUAUAUCUUGGAUGGGGUCCUAGUCUUUCACGAGGUCCUCCAUGAGGUCCAUGCCAAACACCUGAAGGCCAUCUUCCUGAAGCUCGACUUCCACAAGGCAUACGACACGGUCAGUUGGCCCUUCCUUCAGGAAGUUUUGCUCCGUAAGGGGUUUGAUGACCAAUGGGUCACCCGGGUAAUGCAUCUGGUCUCAUUCGAGCAGACUGUGGUCAACAUUAACGGCGAGAUCAGCCCCUACUUCCCCACGCUUUGUGGGGUCCUUCAGGGAGAUCCUUUCUCCCCGUUCCUCUUCAACAUGGUGGUUGAUGCUUUGGCUACUAUCCUUGACAAGGCAAAGGCCGCAUGGCACAUUCAAGGCAUGGUGCCUCACUUGUUGGGGAGACAUGGAGUGUCCCUUCUCCAGUACGCCGACAACACAAUCAUUAUGGUUGAGGGAUCUAUGGCCGACAACACAAAUGUCAAAUUCCUCCUCCUUUGCUUUCAGGAGAUGUCGGGCAUGAUGAUUAACUUCGAUAAGAGCGAAGUGAUGGUGAUGGGGUGUUCCUUUGCUGAGAGCCAUAGUAUAGCCAACCGGCUCAACUGUUAG